CUACGGGAGGCAGCAGUGGGGAAUAUUGGACAAUGGGGGGAACCCUGAUCCAGCAAUGCCGCGUGUGUGAAGAAGGUCUUCGGAUUGUAAAGCACUUUCACUAGGGAAGAUGAUGACGGUACCUAGAGAAGAAGCCCCGGCUAACUUCGUGCCAGCAGCCGCGGUAAUACGAAGGGGGCUAGCGUUGCUCGGAAUGACUGGGCGUAAAGGGCGCGUAGGCUGUUUGUACAGUCAGAUGUGAAAUCCCCGGGCUUAACCUGGGAACUGCAUUUGAUACGUGCAGACUAGAGUCCGAGAGAGGGUUGUGGAAUUCCCAGUGUAGAGGUGAAAUUCGUAGAUAUUGGGAAGAACACCGGUUGCGAAGGCGGCAACCUGGCUCGGAACUGACGCUGANGCGCGAAAGCGUGGGGAGCGAACAGGAUUAGAUACCCUGGUAGUCCACGCUGUAAACGAUGUGUGCUGGAUGUUGGGUGAUUUUAUCAUUCAGUGUCGGAGCUAACGCGUUAAGCACACCCCCUGGGGAGUACNGCCNCAANGUUGAAACUCAAAGGAAUUGACNGGGGGCCNCACAAGCGGUG
RNAcentral lists this ribosomal RNA (578 nucleotides) under Acetobacteraceae bacterium AP1. Its description in RNAcentral is "bacterial SSU rRNA". It matches the Rfam family "Bacterial small subunit ribosomal RNA", at positions 339 to 934 of the family's 1533-position model. The record is from RNAcentral. Lineage: Bacteria; Pseudomonadati; Pseudomonadota; Alphaproteobacteria; Acetobacterales; Acetobacteraceae.